RNAcentral lists this ribosomal RNA (415 nucleotides) under uncultured bacterium. RNAcentral's name for it is "bacterial SSU rRNA". It matches the Rfam family "Bacterial small subunit ribosomal RNA", at positions 8 to 423 of the family's 1533-position model. The record is from RNAcentral.
AGAGUUUGAUCCUGGCUCAGAUUGAACGCUGGCGGAAUGCUUUACACAUGCAAGUCGAACGGCAGCACGGGAGCUUGCUCCUGGUGGCGAGUGGCGAACGGGUGAGUAACAUAUCGGAACAUAUCCUAUCGUGGGGGAUAACUAGUCGAAAGACUAGCUAAUACCGCAUACGUCCUGAGGGAGAAAGCGGGGGCUCGCAAGACCUCGCGCGAUUGGAGUGGCCGAUAUCUGAUUAGCUAGAUGGUGAGGUAAAAGCUCACCAUGGCGACGAUCAGUAGCUGGUCUGAGAGGAUGAUCAGCCACACUGGGACUGAGACACGGCCCAGACUCCUACGGGAGGCAGCAGUGGGGAAUUUUGGACAAUGGGCGAAAGCCUGAUCCAGCCAUUCCGCGUGAGUGAAGAAGGCCUUCGGGU